AUUGAACGCUGGCGGCAGGCCUAACCCAUGCAAGUCGAGCGAGCGGCGGACGGGUGAGUAAUGUCUGGGAAACUGCCUGCUGGAGGGGGAUAACUACUGGAAACGGUAGCUCAUACCGCAUACCAUCAGAUGUGCCCAGGGGGGAUUAGCUGGUAGGUGGGGUAACGGCUAACCUAGGCGAAGAUCCCUAGCUGGUCUGAGAGGAUGACCAGCCACCCUGGAACUGCGACACGGUCCAGACUCCUCCGGGAGGCAGCAGUGGGGAAUAUUGCACAAUGGGCGCAAGCCUGAUGCAGCCAGGCCGCGUGUGUGAAGAAGGCCUUCGGGUUGUAAAGCACUUUCAGCGGGGAGGCGUUACCCGCAGAAGAAGCACCGGCUAACUCCGUGCCAGCAGCCGCGGUAAUAC
RNAcentral lists this ribosomal RNA (406 nucleotides) under uncultured bacterium. RNAcentral's name for it is "partial 16S ribosomal RNA". It matches the Rfam family "Bacterial small subunit ribosomal RNA", at positions 29 to 526 of the family's 1533-position model. The record is from RNAcentral.